Molecule: ribosomal RNA, 232 nt
Filed under: uncultured bacterium
Lineage: Bacteria
Description: partial 16S ribosomal RNA
Rfam family: Bacterial small subunit ribosomal RNA
Source: RNAcentral
GACGAACGCUGGCGGCGUGCUUAACACAUGCAAGUCGAGCGGUAAGGCCCUUUCGGGGGUACGACGAGCGGCGAACGGGUGAGUAACACGUGGGUGACCUGCCCUCAGCUCUGGGAUAAGCCUGGGAAACCGGGUCUAAUACUGGAUAUGACUCCAUGACGCAUGUUGUGGGGUGGAAAGCCUUGUGCGGCUGAGGAUGGGCCCGCGGCCUAUCAGCUUGUUGGUGGGGGGA